GAUGAAGAACGCAGCGAAAUGCGAUACGUAAUGUGAAUUGCAGAUUUCAGUGAAUCAUCGAAUCUUUGAACGCACAUUGCGCCCGCUGGAACUCCGGCGGGCACGCCUGUCCGAGCGUCAUUUCAACCCUCAGGCCCCCCUUCGCGGGCGGGCCUGGUGUUGGGGCCCGGCCGCUACCCUGCGGCCGUCCCCUAAAUCCAGUGGCGGCCUCGCCGUGAUCCCUUGCGUAGUAAUGCACCUCGCACCGGAGAGCGCCGUGGCCACGCCGUAAAACCCCCAAUUUUCAAUGGUUGACCUCGGAUCAGGUGGGAAUACCCGCUGAACUUAAGCAUAUCAAUAAGCGGAGGA
RNAcentral lists this unclassified non-coding RNA (348 nucleotides) under soil metagenome. RNAcentral's name for it is "partial contains 5.8S ribosomal RNA, internal transcribed spacer 2, and large subunit ribosomal RNA". The stretch from base 1 to 120 matches the Rfam family "5.8S ribosomal RNA", at positions 35 to 154 of the family's 154-position model. The record is from RNAcentral.